This 478-nucleotide ribosomal RNA is filed under the name uncultured bacterium. Its description in RNAcentral is "partial 16S ribosomal RNA". It matches the Rfam family "Bacterial small subunit ribosomal RNA", at positions 28 to 523 of the family's 1533-position model. The record is from RNAcentral.
GACGAACGCUGGCGGCGUGCUUAACACAUGCAAGUCGAACGGUAAGGCCCUUCGGGGUACACGAGUGGCGAACGGGUGAGUAACACGUGGGUGAUCUGCCCUGCACUUCGGGAUAAGCCUGGGAAACUGGGUCUAAUACCGGAUAGGACCCUGGGAUGCAUGUCCUGGGGUGGAAAGCUUUUGCGGUGGGGGAUGGGCCCGGGGCCUGUCAGCUUGUUGGUGGGGUGCUGGCCUACCAAGGCGACGACGGGUAGCCGGCCGGAGAGGGUGACCGGCCACACUGGGACUGAUAUACGGCCCAGACGCCUACGGGAGGCAGCAGUGGGGAAUAUUGCACAAUGGGCGCAAGCCUGAUGCAGCGACGCCGCGUGAGGGAUGACGGCCUUCGGGUUGUAAACCUCUUUCAGCACCGACGAAGCGCAAGUGACGGUAGGUGCAGAAGAAGGACCGGCCAACUACGUGCCAGCAGCCGCGGUAA